UGCUAAUACCGGAUAACAACAGAUGAUGCCUAUCAACUGUUUAAAAGAUGGUUCUGCUAUCACUCUUGGAUGGACCUGCGGUGCAUUAGCUAGUUGGUAGGGUAACGGCCUACCAAGGCGAUGAUGCAUAGCCGAGUUGAGAGACUGAUCGGCCACAUUGGGACUGAGACACGGCCCAAACUCCUACGGGAGGCAGCAGCU
RNAcentral lists this ribosomal RNA (201 nucleotides) under uncultured Lactobacillus sp. RNAcentral's name for it is "partial 16S ribosomal RNA". It matches the Rfam family "Bacterial small subunit ribosomal RNA", at positions 161 to 355 of the family's 1533-position model. Lineage: Bacteria; Bacillati; Bacillota; Bacilli; Lactobacillales; Lactobacillaceae. The record is from RNAcentral.